UUACUGAUAGGUUAUUUAAACUGACAAAUUGUGGUUUUGUUGAUUACAUGUUUUCUUUUAGUAUC
This 65-nucleotide transfer RNA is filed under the name Rhinebothroides sp. MZUSP 8019. Its description in RNAcentral is "tRNA-His". Lineage: Eukaryota; Metazoa; Platyhelminthes; Cestoda; Rhinebothriidea; Rhinebothriidae. RNAcentral also lists the same sequence under 3 other names. The record is from RNAcentral.